Long non-coding RNA from Stegodyphus dumicola, 2882 nucleotides. NCBI's taxonomy places the organism in Eukaryota, Metazoa, Arthropoda, Arachnida, Araneae, Eresidae. The record is from RefSeq and is a predicted model, not a curated record.
CUCUGUUAGGACAGCUGUUAAGAUGAACUGACAAACAGUGACAAAUGCUGUCAACUGGUGGUGUUACUUUUCCUUGAAUAGACGAACAGAACACAGUUUUCUCAGACAAGAAAUAUUUAUGUUUUACGUAAAUUUAACCAUUUGAUGAAAAUUAUAUGCUGCUGUUUUCUCUUGAAUUCCUUGUGAAUGUUCUCAUCCAAAAAAGAUUCCUUCUUCCCGAGAAAGGAUAAUAAAAUCCGAAGCAAAAUCAUGGGCUAGGAAGUUGAUCACAAUGAUCACAAGAGUGAGCUCAGCAAGAAAGAAUUACAACUUCCGAAGCAACUUCGGAAGCAACAACAAUUACAGCCUCCGAAGCAAUUACAAAAGACGAUGUGGAAGAAAUGCCCUCAGUAGAAGAAGAAGAAUGAAAAAUAAUUUUAGGUCCGUGAUCCAUGAAAUUUGUGCAAAGGGGGUGAGAUGCAGACUUUUCAUGUAACGAUAUCACCCUGAUCAAGCAGUAGCAAGCUACAACAUACUAAACAUUUUUACUAAUAAUGCGAUGCCUCACUUUAGAAACAUUUUAAAACUUAAGCAACCACGCUGAACAAAUUAAGAGUAAAACAGAAACCUAGUGAGACUAAAGCAGAGUGGCGCUUAGAGAUAAAGAAAAGAUGAAAGAAAUCAUGUUUUUAUUGGAAGGCCCCGAUUUCGCAUCCAAACAGCAUCAUCCUUAUCAUUUUCCACGUACAUCAUCUUCUUCCUGAGUUUUCAUAACACAGUAGGAGAAACAAGUAUGAAAGCCCUUACUUUCAAACCAAGGACACCCAACUUUCAAACCAAAGACACCCAACAUUUAAGAGCUACUUAUGUUUAGAGAGUAUGGCAAACGUACGAGGACUAUUUACCGAAGGAAAGGGAUUUCUUCAUGGAGGACUUUCUAAGGAAAUAGGAGCUAUUCACAUGAGGCCAGUGCUCCUCACCCUUGUCCCGGCCCUAAAGCUGAGCAAAAAAAAUCCUUGAAAGGAAACGCCGAACCAAGACAGAUUGGAAAGCUCUGGCAGAUAAGUCGUCCUCCGCUUUGUCAUAUUCAACUUAAAAGAUCAUGCUAUGAUUACGAAUGGUAACUUUUAUAUGGCUAAUAAAUAUAGGAUGAUUAUAUAAUAAUCAGCUAGAUAGACUAGUGUGAACUGGAAGAUUAUCGCUGUUGGUUGACUUUCAGAACAAGAGCUUCCUUAGUGCAUUAAUAUUUUGUUUUAUAUGUGAAUGUCACGGAAGAGUAGUUCGUGUCAAAGAAAAAAGAAAAAAAUUGAUUUCUUUUCAUAUUUCAAAUUAUUUCUUGCAUAUUUCUACUGUUUAUAGUGCGUAUAUAUAUAAUAAUCAGCUAGAUGGAACUAGGGUGAACUGGAAGAUUAUCACUGUUGGUUAAUACUUAGAACAAGAGCUUCCUUAGUGUAUGAAUAUUUUGCUUUAUAUGUGAAUGCCAGUGGAGAGUAGUUCGUGGCAAAGAAAAAAGAAAAAUUGUUGAGUAGGAGGACGACACGGAUCGGAUACGACGGCCAACGGCAACUCUAAAAUGAUGGACAGACUAGAAGUGACGCCUCCUUUCUUCUUAUUUUAUUUUAUUUUUUUAUUUCUAGACUCGAAGAGAUUCAUUUGCGUCGUUUAUUUCCGCCACUUACAACUCAGAUUUUAGGAAAAUUGAAGCUAAUUAAAUACAAUCUCCGAAGCAUUUGGUGUGCGUGUGUGAAUCAAUCGUAUUCCAGUAGCGAACGGGCGUAUUCUGGCAUUGUUCCAAAUCGAGCUCACAAGGUUGGUUACAAGUAUUGACCGCUCUGCAAACUUUGCCUUUUUCAUAAGAAAACUUACUUCUCCCUUCUUUACCUUUUCUUUCGCGCAAGAAAAUCGUUUUCGUACACGCUGCGACAGAGUUUCUCUUCGUUUUGUUAUUCUCAGAGGAAGUAAGCUAAAGAAUUCGGGAAGGCGUGUCGUCAGCUUCGCUUCAUGUUAAAGAAAUAUAUGUGUAUUUAAAUGCUGAUUUAAUGAGAGGAAAUAAAAAUAUUUAGGGAUGAAAGUGAAUUGCAUCAUCAAUAAGAGCUUACAAAAUAGUGUCGCAUAUAAUUUCCCGAUUUUAUCAUAGUUAUAAUUUUUGAAUUUUAGCAAGUUAAUAGCUACGUUAUAAAGCAAGUCCUAUUUAGAGUGUGAUUAUGAAUAUUUUUGAAGUAAACAUAAUUACGAGAUAAAUAUAAUUCAUUAACUAGAGAAAUAAAAGCGAAAUCUUAAUUGCACGACAUCUGCUUCAAUAUAUGAUUCAUUUAGUAGAUGGAUGAUUCGCUUUAUUUGGAAUAGUAAGUCCAGAGUUUCAGGUAGUUAAACUAUCAUACGUUUGCUCACCUUUUUAUAGGACACGGAAUUUUUAAGAGAGAGAGUUUCUAGCCAGGUGUUGCUAAACAUUCACACGCAUUUAUGAAGAAUGUUCAUCCCACAUGCAAAUAUAGAGAUUCUUAUGCCUUAAUAAUUGAUGUGACUUGUUUUUAGUGUGUUUUUUACAGUGUAAGUAGAGCCUUAAAAAAUGAUAACAGUUGAGCUAUGUAGUCAUGUAACUAUUCCGAUGAAAUUCGUCAGCCAUGGAAAUGGGUAUGAAGAACAGCGUUGAAGUGAAUGUAGCAGCAGUAAUAAGCAAUUGUAUUUGUAAAUGAGGGGGCGUUUCCUCCACUGAAUAUCGGUGAUUUGACGAGAGUUAAAUUCACCGGUAAAAUAUACGCUGAUUAGGGUAUUUUUAAAACGACCUAUGUAGGAUGUGAAUAUUUUCAGUAACUCACUAUAUGAACAUUAGACAGAAAUCCUAAUCGUAUUCAUGCCAUUUGAAAAACAAAAUAUGAUUUUUUUUUUUUUUUUUUUUUUUU